UGUGAACUGUUGAUUUCGUGC
This is a non-coding RNA of Caenorhabditis elegans, 21 nucleotides long. Lineage: Eukaryota; Metazoa; Nematoda; Chromadorea; Rhabditida; Rhabditidae. The record is from Ensembl.